Molecule: long non-coding RNA, 844 nt
Organism: Meriones unguiculatus (Mongolian gerbil)
Lineage: Eukaryota; Metazoa; Chordata; Mammalia; Rodentia; Muridae
Exons: 4
Source: RefSeq, a predicted model, not a curated record
GCAAGGGAGGGGCAGAGCGGGGAGAGAGAGUGAGGAGGCAAAGGAUGGGCGAGAAAGCCAAUCUCCCAGCUGGUGCAGAGCCCCCCACAGUGCCUCACUGAUAACGUAUAACAGAGAUUCGCGCCCCCUGACCCGCGUGGCUGACUCUGAAACUGAUUCCCGCCUCGCACAGAGCACUCUCCGGCGACUCGCGUGAAAACGGUCAGGCAAACUCACACGCUACAGCCAACGCAAUACGGGAAGCCAGACUCGCCCACAAACAAGGUACCCCCAGAGGUUUGAAGAGGCGGUUGGAACCCCUGGAGCUGUGAUUAUGGUGGUCGUGAGCUGCCUGGCAUAGGUGCUGGGAUUUGAACUUGAGUCUUCUGGAAGAGCAGUGAGUGCUCUUAACCUCUGAGCCACCUCUACAGCCCUCAACUAAACUUCUGAAAGAAUGUCUGUUGUGUGUGAGCGUGUUCGUGUGGAGACCAGAGCUUUAUGGAAUGGAUCAAGGAGGAUAACCUCAAAUUUUUAUAAACGGGAUCUUCACCAACCCAGUAAGAAUUCAGGACUCUCAACAGCGGCAUCCAGCUCUCUUCUCAGCUCUCUCCGUCUGAAGGCUUCGGACAAAUGUUAGCUGGCUAACACCAUGGUGGACAGGUUUGCACUCCUGGAUGGACCUGUACGCACCCAGCGUGGGUCACCCGAUGGCUGCCGCCAGCUAUAUAACGUAUUUGGAUUGUAUUUGCCCUCCAUUACUUUCUCCUACACCUCAGCCCUUCUUUCUAACAAGUUUCUCCUACUGUCAGGGGUUCUGGUUUUUGUUUUGACCCACUUUGUUGAAUUAUAGUUGUUUCUGUUAGUG